GAUGAAGAACGCAGCGAAAUGCGAUAAGUAAUGUGAAUUGCAGAAUUCAGUGAAUCAUCGAAUCUUUGAACGCACAUUGCGCCCGCCAGUAUUCUGGCGGGCAUGCCUGUUCGAGCGUCAUUUCAACCAUCAAGCCCUGCUUGCGUUGGGGUCCUGCGGCUGCCCGCAGGCCCUGAGAACCAGUGGCGGGCUCGCUAGUCACACCGAGCGCAGUAAUACAUCUCGCUUUGGGCGUGCGGCGGGUUCUUGCCGUUAAACACCCCCUUUUUACCAAGGUUGACCUCGGAUCAGGUAGGAAUACCCGCUGAACUUAAGCAUAUCAAUAAGCGGAGGA
Molecule: unclassified non-coding RNA, 334 nt
Filed under: soil metagenome
Description: partial contains 5.8S ribosomal RNA, internal transcribed spacer 2, and large subunit ribosomal RNA
Rfam family: 5.8S ribosomal RNA (bases 1-120)
Source: RNAcentral